UGAUCCUCCUCCCUCAGCCUCCUCAGCCUCCCAAACUGUUAGAAUUAUAAGCAUGAGCCACUGUGCCCAGCCUGAGAGUGUUCUUUAGACAGGCAGAAUUGGUCUCAAAUUCCACUUUGUCACUUACUUGCUGUGUAGUGUGGAAUACGUUCUUUCCUUUUUCUAAUCCUCAGUUGUACGUUUACUAUGCAGAUCGUAUUAGUAUCUACACCAAAGAUUUGCUAUAAGGUGUGAGAUGAUGGCAGUGUUAUCAGUGAGAUGCAGUAUUAAGCAGAGUAUCUGAUACAAAAAUGUUUUACAUGAUUCAUAUUGCUCUCACUUCUUAUUAGUCCAUUAAAAGGUUUGAAUAUAAAUAUUUAGCCCUGGUUGGCAUGUUAUACCAGUAAGAUCUUUAAAAAAAGUUGAAUAAUACAAGUUCUAGUUUUAAAUGAAGCAUAUUUAUAAAGAAAUUGCUAUAAUAUUCAUGUUGAAAAAUAAGUAAACAUUGAGUGAACAUUUUUAUAAACCAAACUAAUAAUUUUGUUAGAAAAAAACUAUGGUUAAGUAAAUCAGUCAAAAGUAAUAAGGUUUUUUUUAUGACCAGAAGAUACUAUGUAGCCUGCUCCAUUUUUGAAUCAAUAUUAAGAUAUUUUUAGCCUUUGAAUUUAGAUACUUCCAACAUUUAUUUCAUAGAACUGUCUACCGAAUCUGCCACUAGAAGUAAUGAAAAUAACGUUACAAAGUUAGCUUUGUGAGAGCAGGAGUCACUUCCACCUUGUUUCUUUACACAUCUCAGGGCUUAGCAUAGGAUCUUGCACACAGUAGGCACUCAAUAAAUUUUUAAGAAAUGAAGACAUGAACUGGCUUUGAAGCUUACAUCUAAGGACUGACUUGCCCAUGUGUUAUCUGUGACCUUCGACAUGUCCCUUAAAAUUGUCUGGCCUUGUCUCCAUCAACAAAGAAAGGCAUUAGACUAAGACUCUAAAAUUCAAAUCAAUAGAAGCAUCUGUGUAAAACAAGAUGAAAGACUGCAGCUAGAUCCAAAGAAGAGUAUGGCCACCUCAGAAAAUACUGAAUUUGAAUGGUUCAUGAAGUAUGUUCUUGUAGAAUCAGGGGCAAAAGAAAUUACUAACUUUCUUCCAACUAACCUGAAAACAAUUCCUAGAGGAGCUGUUUCACAUAAAAUCAUUCAUUGUGUAUAAAAAUAUCUAUUAGCAGAUCCUUUCUGUUUCUUAACCCAGUUCCUCAUACUGUAGUUAUUCUUGCUUACUCAGUAUGGGAAACUUUUUUCCUCUCCUUUGGUAACUGAAGGUCACUGACCCACCCUAAUCAAAACCAAGAACCAUACAAAAAGUUGAUUUAGGGUACUGUUUGUUAUUUUUUAUUUAGAGAGAGAAAAGUCUACCACUCAUCCAUGAUUUAGAAACAGAGAACAUGAAACAGUAUUCACCAGAUAUACUUCAGUUUUAUAUUAGAGCCAAUUAAAAGAACAAGUCAGAGCAGGAGAUAAAAAGAAAGGGAACAGAGAGGGAGGGGAAAAGAGAAAGAGACAUAACUAACUUUAGGAUUUGCCAAGCCCUGAGAGGCAAUGACUCUUACUCAUAAUGAUCCUUGGAAAAACAAAGAGGAACCCUUUAGAUAAAAAAACAAAUAAAUAAACUUUACUGAAAUUAGUUACAAAUUAUGUUUUAAUUACUGUUUAAAAUCAGAGAGCAGAGCAAAUCUCGCUCUUACUUACAAACUAGACAAAAAAAAAAAAAAGCCUUCAUGUUUUUCCACAGAAAAGAGAGCAUAUGACAUCUAUCCAACUUUUAUAGGAAAAAAAAGAUUUUUUUUAAAGAACAUCUUUGCUAACAUUCAGACACUGAUCCCAAACAAUUUAAAAGCCAAGUUGCAUAUUUGGAACUAUGUAAACAAUAAUGUCUUUUGUAGGUACUUGCCAUAGACCCAAAUAAAAUGCAGAAAAAUAACCUUUAUCUAAUUGGUAAACCAAAGCAUUCUCAAUGUAACUUAUUAAAAUAACCUAUUAGUGCUUGUAUUUCUCCUUCUCAGUAAUGGCCAAAAUUCUCAUUUUUUUCUUAGACCACAUCUGAAUAUAUUUAAACAAUAUUGUGAACUUUUAUCUCAUUUCUAGUUUCUUCAUAUUUUUCUUGAAUUAGAGCAUGUAUAGUUUUUCUUUAAGCUAUAACUUUUCUCCUGAAAAUUGUGCAUGAUUAAUCUUUGUUUGUGUGUUUAUUUGUUUGUUUUUUUGAGAUAGAGUCUAGCUCUGUCACGCAGGCUGAAGUGCAAUGGUGCCAUCUCGACUCAUUGCAAUCUCUGCCUCUUAGGUUCAAGUGAUUCUUCUGCCUCAGCCUUCCACAUGAUUAAUCUUUAAACCAUAUUUAAACAAAGAUAAGUAUUAAUGAAAUCCUAAAUUGAAACUUAUAGGGUUUGCUCUGCUAAUUACUCUGAUGUUGUACCUGUUUUGACAAAUUGCAAGUUUCACUUUUCAUUUAUUUAAAACCUGACAACUGCACUGUCAGAGGUCUGACAAGGACUGAGUUCUAAAGGAGUUAUCUAGGGUCCACUGAAUAGCAUACCUGUCACUGCCUCCUCAGCAUCGCCACUGUUCUCUUAACUCAUGGUAUGUUCAUUUAUUCAUUGUAUAUUUGUUAUAUACUCUGGUCCUGAGAUAUAUCCUAUUCUGUGGUCUGUGUCUCAGGUUUCCUUCAGCUUAACAUUAGAUACUAUUUAUUUAACUAUAGGUUUUCUUAAAUAUUUUAUUGGAUCUUAUGGAGUCUAUCUCCAAGUUAAUGAAUUUUAAUCAAUCAGUGUACAUAAAAAUCCAUCCGCCUCAAACUGAAUGUUGUGAGAGGUGAAAUAUUCUUAUUCCAUAAUGUGAGAUGGUGCAAAAAUGUUUAAAAUACAUCCAUUUAGUUAUAUAAUAAAAUAAUUGCACUUCUACAUAGAGUAUAAAGUUUGAAUGAGGACAGAGCAGUGCAAGAAGUAAUGGACUUGCUUUAACAUUAACCUGUUCUGCUAUAAGGUCAUAGCUAUUACUGGCUUAUGGAGAAGAGUCCCAGGUAUGGAAAUAUAAAGUAAAUACAGUAAUUGAUUUAGAUAUUUUGGACUUAUUUUAAACAAUAUAUUUAAAAUAUAAAGCUACAAAUUCACAUUAAAUGUUGCAUAUUUUUAUCCCUAAUGAAAUAUUUGAUAAAUAUGCAAACUUUGAGUAGUGAUUUUCAUCUUUUCUGUUUUAGCUAAUUAAAAUAUGUGCUACUUAAGGAUAAAUAAAUUUUCAUGGGAAUAGAAUGACAAAUUAUGAAAAUUAUAUCAUAACUUGAAUAGAUUAAAACUUUGUUAUUUGAAAUAAAGAACAGAAAUAGAUAACAUUCUUUCUCUUAAAAUUCAUCAUAUAUUUUGCAAUCGGGUUUUCCAUUCUUAUAGACAGCUUAUUUUUCCAGAUCAUACACACAGAUAUGACCAUAUAUGGGAAGAAAGUCAAAGUACACUCUGAUAACUGUAGCAUAUUUUUAGCAUUUAGGGAAAAGAAAAGCCAGAAUGAGUGGAUAUUAUGCUGCUAACAUUUGCUGAUAAAACAUUAAGAUGUCAAAAACCAAGAAGGUCUUACAUGAAAGAGAUGGGGAUAAUUAAAAAAAAGAAUAAAGUAAACAAUUUCCUUAAUUAUUAAAAAGCUAUAUAACACAAAAGAAUAUGAACUUCAGAAUCAAACAGUCAUUCAGCAAGUUACUUUCUUUGAAUUUAAUUUACUUAUUCUGUAGAAUGGGAAAAAAGCCAACAUGAACUUUUACCUUGUAAUCUGUCACAAGGCCUGUUCUUAUCCCUCAGAAACUUUAAGCUCAGGGCUUGGACUCAGGGUGUCUUCCCUCUUUGGCAUACUUCUCUCCUCUAUAUUACCUUGUUUCAGUUGUAUGUUAAGUAGUCUUCUCACCCUUACUGCAUUCUUUUUGUAUCCCUUACUCCUGUUUUAAUUUCUAAAAAGCAUACACCACUAUCUGGGAUUACAUUGUUUAAUUUAUGUGCCUAUUUACCCUCCACUAUAAUUUGAGUCACAAGAGAUCAGGGUUUUUCUUUAUAUUAUUCACAACUGUUUCCCCAGUUCUAAUAACAGUGCCCAAAAUAUUACUAUGCAAUAAUAGCAAGUGACUAGAUGGAUAAUAAAGUAGUCAGAAGCCUUAUUGCUUCCUUGAGAACUUCAAAAUUCAAACUCAAAAGAUCACUUAUAAGAGUGUGACCUUGAGAAAAUUACCUCCAUUUUAUUAAAAGACAAUAAUACUUCAAGGAGUUGUUAAAUAUGAUAAUGACUUAAACGUGCUUAUCUCUGUGCUGGGGAUAUUCUAAGGGUUUCAAAAAUGGUGGCUGCUAUUAUUAUAAAUUUUGUCUCUUAAAAUAUUUUGUUUAGUUGGUUGGUUUUGGAGCCAAAGAAUCUCAGGGAUUCAGAAAGAUUUUUCUUCUUUUGAUUUCCUGCUCACUGGAAGACCAGGAAAAGCACACUCACCAAAGCAGUUCACAAAUGGUAGAAAACCAGUUGACCAUACAAAAUGAACAUGGCUGUUCUUUAUGCAGCCUGAUACUCCAAUAUUGCAUUAAAUAAGCAGUCCUGAAAGGCAAGGGCAGGAGAAGAGAGAACAUAAUGGAGGAGGAACAAUCAUUUCUCCUCCAGGACUUUAAUUGAGCAUGUUGGUAUAAAUAUACUCUUUCUAAUUUGCCAUAAUCUAAUUUGGAUGACCAGUAGCCUCCAAAAGAGAGCUAUUGAUAGAGGUUAUAUCUACUUCUCAUAUGUAAACAUGUGAUUCCCCCAACUUAAGAGUUUCCAUGGAGUAGACAAAAGAGAGUCAUACUUCUGAUUCUUUUAAUAUAUGUAUUGUUUUCUGCCUAUUGUUUGUGGCAGUGUUCAGAUUGACAGGGCUUUUCUUGUGGAUAUAUUGUUAGUGUUCUUUGCGGAAAAGAUCUGAGGAUUUGGGAAUUAAAUUAGAUAAACUAGAAUAAGAAAACAAUACUUUGUGCUAUUCUUAUAUUGCUUGUACUUUCUCCUUUCAUGCUUCAUUUUGCUCGUAGUUACUAAUGGGAAAAGUAGUUUGGAAAUCUUUAGCUCAUGUCAAAAGCAAAUGGAAGACAGAGGCAAGGUUAUUGUCCAUACUAGUGGCAGAACUUUGAAGAUGGAAUACUGCAACAUUUGGUAUCUGCAUGAAAGUGAACCUGAUAAUUUGUCAACAUCUACAGAAAAAACGAAAUUUCUUGGGAAGAUAAUUUAGGUUGCUUUAUCUACUGCCCUUUAUCAUAUGGAAAUUCUGUCUAAUGCUAAACUGUUUGGUAAGAAAAAAUGACUAUUUUUUUGUUUAAUUGAGUUACUUAAAACAUAUUUGUUUUAAUAUGAGGAAGUUUUACAUUACUGAGGUAAACCUGAAUGCUACUUUAUUAUUUGUAGCUAAAACCCAUUAGAGCAUUUGACUAAAAUCAGCCAUAUGAUAAUUAUGUUUAAAACAAACAGCUAACUUAACGUGGAGUGUUUAUCAUGGGUUAGAUGUUACGGUAAGAUUUUAAGUGAUUUAUCUCCUCUAACUCUCAAGCCAAUCCUAUGAGGUACAAUUGUUAUCCCUAAAUUAUAGAUGAGGAAAUUAAAGAUUCAAGAUGUUAAAUAAUUUAUCCAAAGACAUACUGUCAAUAAAUGCAGAGUUCAGAUUCACUUUCUGAACUACACAUAGUGACUUGAUGCUACUUUCUUCUAAAACUGUUCCAAAAUUGAACUGAAAGAGAUUAUUUCAUUACAUAUGAAGUAUAUUUAUUUUGUUGACACAAUAGCAUCAACUGCCUCUGUAAGUCUGCUUGCCAAAAUUGCAUAUUGAAAUAGCAUUUUAAAAUAAUUAUAUGUAAAAAAUAUGAAAUAGAAGCAAUCUGGACCCACAAACCACAUUUUCUGUUCUGCGGUUAUGCAGGCAUAGAAAGGGAAAUUAUAAAAUUCAAAGAAAGCAAAGAAUUUUUGUAAACAUUUUCUAAGGCUGCAAGAUGAUUGCUUUUACUAUUUUGGAUAAAAUAAGAAUAUUUAAAAUUUUAAAGUAGGUAAAAUUGGUUGCAGGUUAAUAUUUGAAAAAGCAUACAAUUAUUUUAGAGCUUCAUUUGAACAAAUCAUGUUUACCAAUUACAAGGUUUUGGUUUUCAUUUACGAGUUGCUUUUAUUUGUACCAAUCUACUUACAUGUGUUAAUGAAUAUGCUUAGAAGAAAACAAUAUGCAUCAUCA
Molecule: long non-coding RNA, 6218 nt
Organism: Sapajus apella (tufted capuchin)
Lineage: Eukaryota; Metazoa; Chordata; Mammalia; Primates; Cebidae
Exons: 2
Source: RefSeq, a predicted model, not a curated record